CGGCGGACGGGUGAGUAAUGUAUGGGGAUCUGCCUGAUGGCGGGGGGUAACUACUGGAAACGGUAGCUAAUACCGCAUAAUGUCUACGGACCAAAGCGGGGGACCUCCGGGCCUCGCGCCAUCAGAUGAACCCAUAUGGGAUUAGCUAGUAGGUAAGGUAACGGCUUACCUAGGCGACGAUCCCUAGCUGGUCUGAGAGGAUGACCAGCCACACUGGAACUGAGACACGGUCCAG
Molecule: ribosomal RNA, 235 nt
Filed under: uncultured bacterium
Lineage: Bacteria
Description: partial 16S ribosomal RNA
Rfam family: Bacterial small subunit ribosomal RNA
Source: RNAcentral